GUGGGGAAUUUUGGACAAUGGGCGCAAGCCUGAUCCAGCAAUGCCGCGUGCGGGAAGAAGGCCUUCGGGUUGUAAACCGCUUUUGUCAGGGAAGAAACGUUCUGGGUUAAUACCCUGGAGUAAUGACGGUACCUGAAGAAUAAGCACCGGCUAACUACGUGCCAGCAGCCGCGGUAAUACGUAGGGUGCGAGCGUUAAUCGGAAUUACUGGGCGUAAAGCGUGCGCAGGCGGUCAUGCAAGACAGAUGUGAAAUCCCCGGGCUCAACCUGGGAACUGCAUUUGUGACUGCAUGACUAGAGUACGGCAGAGGGGGAUGGAAUUCCGCGUGUAGCAGUGAAAUGCGUAGAUAUGCGGAGGAACACCGAUGGCGAAGGCAAUCCCCUGGGCCUGUACUGACGCUCAUGCACGAAAGCGUGGGGAGCAAACAGG
This 430-nucleotide ribosomal RNA is filed under the name uncultured Burkholderiaceae bacterium. RNAcentral describes it as "bacterial SSU rRNA". It matches the Rfam family "Bacterial small subunit ribosomal RNA", at positions 354 to 776 of the family's 1533-position model. The record is from RNAcentral. Lineage: Bacteria; Pseudomonadati; Pseudomonadota; Betaproteobacteria; Burkholderiales; Burkholderiaceae.